RNAcentral lists this ribosomal RNA (301 nucleotides) under uncultured bacterium. RNAcentral describes it as "partial 16S ribosomal RNA". It matches the Rfam family "Bacterial small subunit ribosomal RNA", at positions 509 to 807 of the family's 1533-position model. The record is from RNAcentral.
CAGUCGCCACGGUAAUACGGAGGGUGCGAGCGUUAAUCGGAAUAACUGGGCGUAAAGGGCACGCAGGCGGUGACUUAAGUGAGGUGUGAAAGCCCCGGGCUUAACCUGGGAAUUGCAUUUCAUACUGGGUCGCUAGAGUACUUUAGGGAGGGGUAGAAUUCCACGUGUAGCGGUGAAAUGCGUAGAGAUGUGGAGGAAUACCGAAGGCGAAGGCAGCCCCUUGGGCCAAUACUGACGCUCAUGCACGAAAGCGUGGGGAGCAAACGGGAUUAGAUACCCGCGUAGUCCCUGUCUCUUAUAC